RNAcentral lists this ribosomal RNA (253 nucleotides) under uncultured bacterium. RNAcentral describes it as "partial 16S ribosomal RNA". It matches the Rfam family "Bacterial small subunit ribosomal RNA", at positions 524 to 776 of the family's 1533-position model. The record is from RNAcentral.
UACGUAGGUGGCGAGCGUUGUCCGGAAUUAUUGGGCGUAAAGAGCUCGUAGGCGGCUUGUCGCGUCGAUUGUGAAAGCCCGGGGCUUAACUCCGGGUCUGCAGUCGAUACGGGCAGGCUAGAGUGUGGUAGGGGAGAUCGGAAUUCCUGGUGUAGCGGUGAAAUGCGCAGAUAUCAGGAGGAACACCGGUGGCGAAGGCGGAUCUCUGGGCCAUUACUGACGCUGAGGAGCGAAAGCGUGGGGAGCGAACAGG